This 226-nucleotide long non-coding RNA is filed under the name Lathyrus oleraceus (garden pea). Its description in RNAcentral is "Pisum sativum (pea) long non-coding RNA (PSAT_LNC034205)". The record is from RNAcentral. Lineage: Eukaryota; Viridiplantae; Streptophyta; Magnoliopsida; Fabales; Fabaceae.
AAGAAGGUAUAAAUAGUGGAAAAGGCAAAUCUGACCGUUACGUCAUGGCGCCCGCCAUGGAGCUUAUGGCGCCCGCCAUGUCUUCAGAUUUGGUUUGGGUCGGCUGUGCUGUUUGCUUCUUGGGCCUCAAUCCUCUCGUCUUCAUUUUUGUAAUGGGGGGUGUAUAUAGGUAUCCACGAAUGCUGUUUUUUUUUUGUUUUUGAUUUUAAGCUUGAUAAAAUAAAAU